UUUCUCACUUGAACAUAAUGAUUAUUUUGCCAAUAAGUUCCCAACACUUAAUCAUUUCAUUUCCUUUGUAAAAACUUCAGGACAUUAAAUGUCUUUCUUAUCUCUUUGGAAUGCAGUCCAACAUGUCUUUGUCUGAAAGUUAUAGAAUAAUUGGCAAAUAAAGAGACUUGCAUAGCGUAGGCAUGAAAUGUGGUAUGUGUGAGCAAGGAGGUAAGAUGAUUUGGCACUUCUGUGUGGGCUGAGGGCUGAAUUUCACAGCGGCUCUAAAAUGAAGGUAAAAGAGAAGAACUGAGGCCCUAAAGCUAACCAAAGCAAAUUAGUUCAAAGGAAAGGAAAUGACUUUCCAGAUUAAUAGAGAUGAGCUGGCAUGCGCAUGCUGAAAACCCUCAUAUUUUUCAGUGACUCUAUGUCAUUUUCUCAAGGCUGUGGGCAACGGGUGUAUAGCUUAAAGCAUGAUUUCAGACGAACAAAUUUUCUCAAUGAGCUGGCCAGCAUUUCCUGAUGCCAUGGUAUUUUCUCAGAAUUCUGGAUCUGGUUCAUCACUUGUCAAAAAGAGAGAACAUGGCACAGAGGGGUGCCCUGUAGCCCCACAGGGGACCUAGAAAAUUGGCUGACCUGACUUUUAGAACUGGCAGCUUAUUUUUGAUCUCACUCUUUCUGUGUUUGUGCAUAAUUCCUCAGGUCAUUUAUGUAGCACAGAGGACUCUAGCUGGGUUGAAUUAAUUUUGUAUUCUGAAUUUUAUCAGAUUGGUUCAUGUAUGGUCUAUAAUUUUCAGUUAAAUAUUCAUUUUCAGAUGAGACUAGACUCAGACCUCUUGGAGAACAGGGACUGUUUCUCAUUCAGCCUUGUACUCUCAAAACCUAACACAGUACUCUUGCACUUAGUAGGCACUCGGGGUCUUUGAGGAAUGAAUGAAGAGUUGCAAGCUACCAGAAAGAAACAGAUCAGUAAAUUAUGUUUGUCUCACCUGUUCUCAACAUGUGGAUUUAUUUGAAAGUAGAUUAAAAAUAAUAAGAUUAAAUAGAUUAAAAAUAAUUCAGUAAAUAUAAGGACAAAGAAUAACAAUAAAAUAAAAAUCCACUUGUCCACCUAGUGUAAGAAAAAAGUAUUGUAAUUAACUUUGAAGUCUUCAAACUUUUUUUUUUUUCUUCACUGUAUGCCCCACCUCCAGGGGUGAUUAUGGUCCUAAACUUCUAGUUUUCACUCAGUCUGAUGCUUUUACAUUGGAAAUAAGUAUGCCUGGAAGUUCCCGUCAUGGCUUUUUGGAAAUAAGUCUGACUAAGUGUCCAUGCAGACGCAGGUUCAAUCCCUGGCCUCGCUCAGUGUGUUAAGGAUCUGGCAUUGCCCUGAGCUGUGGUGUAGGUGGCAGAUGUGGCUUGAUCCCAUGUUGCUGUGGCUGUGAUGUAGACUGGCAGCUACAGCUCCGAUUCGACUCCUAGCCUGGGAACCUCCAUAUGCCAUGGGUGUGGCCCUAAAAAGACAAACAAACAAACAAAAAGAAGUAGGUGUUUCUGUUGUCAUUAUUAAAACGUUGUUCUUUUUAUUAUAGAAAAGAUAAUAUUAAUUUUGGCUUAAAGCACCAGUAAUCCUUAUUGAUGGGAUAAAUUUCCAUAAGGGGAUGUGAUGUAAAGGUCAAACAGUCUCGUCCACUCAAAAUAUAUUCAGAUCUUAAUAAGAAUUUUCAUAGUCUUUCCUCAAAGGAAUAAAUAAUAUGGGAAGGUCAGGUUCCUAUGUGGAAUGAGAGAAGGAGAGAUUUUUGGCAGGGGGCUGUUUUUAGUGUCCUUGUAUAUCCCCACUGGGUCUCUCACCUGUGCCUGCUGUUGACAGGCCUCUUCAGUGGCUGAGGUCGCGUUGCCGCAGAAAAGCUCAGUCCUGUGUGUGGAGAAACACGGCCACAGUUCCUGUCAUUUAAAUUUCUACUCCUUGUGGAUUCACUGAUUAUAACAGCAUCUUUACCACCUUGUAGAUUUAAAAGGCACGAGCCAUGUUAAAAGCCAGGCUUGAGCAAUCAAAGCUUUUUUCCUCCAGAAGAAGAUGAAAAAAGUGAUUUAUAGUUUGUUUACAGCAAAAAGUUGGUGUGAGGCCACAGGAGAGAAAGGUCUGUCUUCUAAGAACCUGAUUGACUUCUCUGGGGACUUUCUAGAAGAAGGAAGAUUUACUUUUGUUUUUCUUUCCUAUGGGGCUGGAUUUUCUACUUUUUCACAGCUCUUUUUCUCUGAGGAAGCCAAGGUUUUUUGUUUUUCGUUUUUUGUUUUUUUCCUUAUCAAGGGGGAGCAAAGGUACUCUUUGAAAUACCCUCAAAAGUGAACCUGAACCUGUCUGUUUUGUUUGCCAUUGAAUGAACAUGUUUCAAUUUUCCAAUACCUUGAUAUUGGAGAUGGUGUGUCAGUGUUCUGGUAUUAUAUUGACCUCAUUUGUACAUUUGCCUUAUUCACAAAGCCCAUGUAAUACAUCUCUGAACACUUACUAUGUGCUAGCUGUGGGAAGCAAGCAAUGUAUAGAACAGAUGUAGCCUCUGCCUUCAAGCAGUUUCUAGUCUAUUGUGAGAGGCAUACAUUAAUUCCAGUUCAAUAAAUGCCAUGAAAAAAAAAGUGUACUUCAUUUUGCUCAGUGUUAUGGAGAUGAACCUUCUUUCCACCUGCUUCUUCAUUUCGUUGUAGAGGGACAUCGGUUAAUGUGGUGCUCCUGACUUCUUUGACCUGGGCUUAUCUGGCUUAGUCCUUCUCUCCUUUCUGCUUUUGGGAUAAGUCUGUCUGCUCUGAGCCUCUGCCUCCCAGUGGGAGGUGGGGUAAGUUUGGAGCCUUCCAGAUUUCCAGCACUGCUAUGACUGCUCAUGUCUGUCUAAGUCUGCAGUUUAGAUUAAGCGACCCAGUGCUGCUGUGUUCCUCUCUUACCUUCUCCAACCCAGCCUGAUAGUAUUAUGCUAUUAUGCAUAAAUAAAUAGCAUAGAGAUUCUUGUUAUGGCUCAGCAGUAAUGAACCUAGUUGGUAUCCAUGAGGAUGUGGGUUCGAUCCCUGGCCUUGCUCAGUGGGUUAAGGAUCCAGCGUUGCCAUGAGCAGUGGUGUAGGUCGCAGAUGCAGCUCGGAUCCUGCGUUGCUGUGACUGUGGUGUAGGCUGGCAGCUGUUCGACUCCUACCUAGCUGAGAACUUCCAUAUGCCCCAGGUGUGGCCCCCCAAAAACCACAAAAUAUUUAUAUGGCAUAAAUAGUAUUACGUUAAUACUUGGUUCUCCUCUGCUUAGCUCCAUUGUCUAGAAAUUAAUUCAGAAUUUGAGUGGGAGAGAAGAUGCUAUAAUUGGUUUCUUCAAACCUUAAUACUAAGUACCAAACUUGAUGCUUAUACUAGAAUGUCUAUAAUGAUAAAGACUAAUUUCUGGACCAGGGGUUUGAAAGUUCUGCCUCCAGAGAAAGAAGGAUUGGCAUGAGCUGGCAGGGCUGAAUUCCUCCUCUCUUAGCAAUGCCUUCAGUAAGGGCAGAUUUGCAUGGGUCUAUCUUGUAUGUUAAGCUUCCACAGAAAAAUUCUGAGGUUAGAAGGAAUUUAUGAGCUGGUGCCUUAUGCAUACAGCUUUCAAAUACUUUUAGACCACAAUCCACAGUCUGUAUAAUUACAAUUUGAUAUUAUACAUACUCAUAUAUGUGAAAUACAUGUACAAAUGGACCUUAUCAUCUCCAUUCCAUUCCACUCCAUUCCAUUCUAUUCUCCUCCACUCGAAUCCAAUCCAUUCAAUUUCUUUCCAUUUUAUACUGUUAGAAAGAAAAGAUUGGUUAAAAUGUACUAAAUUGAUUCCACCACACUCGUAACAAGAAUUUUGAAAAAUUCUGUAUCAGGUCACAUUCAUUUUACCAGAAGGAUGUACUCUGACCUCUUGUCUGCCAAUGACCUAACCUCCUGAUGGCACCUCUUUUGUCUUGUAUGUUUAAAGCUUCAUAUAUUAUUUGUCUUUUCAAUGCAUAUAAAUUCAGGUUAAACUUACUAUGAAGUUAUGGUCCCUUCUGAGAAAGUAUUUUUUUCACCAUUGUUAUUAUUGCUGAGACUUUUAACGAUACCAAAAUGAUGUAUUCCAUUCCAAAUCUGGCAAACAUUAUUAAAUAUUUCUCUCGGAAUUCAUUAUUACUAUUCGCCUUUUAUUGUUUUGUUUUAUUUAAUGGGGGUAAUUUUCCAUCAAAUCACAGUAGCAAACAAAGCUGACAAAAAUUCUCAAGUUCACAGAAUUUAUUCUUGACUGGAGUGUUUCUUUUACAUAAAAAUCUUCAUAAGAUGCCUAUUUUAGACUGAAUUAUUUAUGAGACCUUAUUCAUCACCACCACCUCUCCAUUCUUGACAAUUUGACAUUUCCAGAAAAUGGCAGUGUGAUGGGGAUGAGGAGGACAGUAUCAUUUUUGUGCUUGAGCUAGUGCCUGGACAGGUCGGGUCUGGGUGAGGGUGAUAAAGGGAGCUGGGUGUCUCAAGGAUGUUGGGUCUAAGAAGAGAGAGGCGUCCAGAGGGAUGUAAAAUGCUCUGAAAGGGAGAUAAGAGGGCACCAGAGCAAACAGGGCCUCCCUGAUGUAGCAUCACACCAGCCCUGUCUUCCAGUCUAUGAAGCUGCCUUCAAGGUUUUAAACAUUGGAAGUCAACCCAUUACUUAACAUUUGUUGCCAUGAUUGUACAUCUUGUUAAGAGAACAUCUGAUGGGAGUCAAGUGGUUUAUUCCCAGAUGAGGGAGGAGGAAUGAGCUUGCCCAGCACAGCAUGGCCUUUCUAGAUGCCAGGCUGAGUCCUCUUUCCUGCCUCCCUCCAGUCACUGCUUGUUUGCUUUAAAUGGGCGGAGAAAUAGGCAAACACAGGUGCUCUCUGCAUUGGCAGCAAGGCCUCUCCUCCAGAUUCAGCCUCUCUCUGGAUGGCACUGGCUGGUAACCACAAGAAUGAAGAUCUAAUCAAGUGAAUUCUGGCCCUCUGCCUACCACUAACUGGUUUUUUUCAGCUUUCCCAUUGUUGAUGAUAAAAUACAGGUAAGCCUUCAGUUGCUUGCCUGCUGCUUCCCAAACCAGCAUUUGCUACAGGCUCUCUGACUUGCCAUUUCGAGGUGUCAUGGAAAGAACACUUGCCCACAAUCAGCACACCUGGCUUCUUGUCCAGGUUUUGCCUCCAAGGUACUGUGCAUGUCUCUUAACUUCCCUGUGCCUUCUUUGAAGUGGAGUUCCUAACACAACCCCUAAUGCUGACUGAGCUUUGCACUGCUUAUCACAGGGAUUUAUCAAGGUAGAAAGCUGAAAAUGCAUACAUAAAAUUCAAGGCUCUAUCUUAAAUUCCUAAAGAGUUAAAGAAUGUCCUGGAGCAGGUAAGGAGUGGAGAGAAGCAGUUAGGCUGCAAGGAUAGAUUUCUGGAAACUGGGGGCGAGAGAAAGAGAGAGAGAUCCUGUCUUAAGAAGUUGACCAGGCCUCAGAAGGGAAGUAUUGGCAAGCAGUGUGGGCACCCUUAGGAGGCUUUAUUUAUAAGACUCCUGUUUCCCAAGUCACCUGAGAUUUCCAGCCUCAGCAAAGAAGCAGCAGAGCCUGGAACAACUGGUGACUCAGCUACACCCAGUGUGGGCUCAAGUCUGACAACCUGAGGUGUUCCCCACCUCAGAGAGAGGUAAGACCUCAGGGCUUUCUACCCUCAUAGGAAGGAGCCCCAAGAAGGCCUAGGGCUUUAUGUCUUAAAGUCCAAUAGGAAUGGGACUUGGAGUCUAAAUUAAACUGAGAAGAAAAAUAGCAAACACAUAAUUUUUUACAUAUCCAUGUGAAGGGACUCUUCAUGCUCUUAUCUGUGUCACUGUAUUUACCAAACAAAAUCUCUCAGAGAACCCUUUAUUUGCAUUCUGUACACAAGGAACUUCUCCAUCAAACACCUUGCAAGGACCCUGGAGCUCCAGGCCAGGCAAGGUUGGCCUCAGUACUCUGUGGGCCAGGACUGGAGCAAAAUGCAAGAUGAGCAGUUCGAGGUUUGGAGUCCUGCCCACGGGUGGGUGAGCAGCCUGGGCAGGCCCAGGCAGGGCUCUGAAGGCCUGUCACUGAGGAAUCACCCCCUGCAGGCAGCGUCGGGGUAACAGUCAGCAGUACUUAAUUAGCCAGGGCUCCUGGCACACCAGCCAAAGCCAUUAGGGACUGAAAGGUUCUCAGAGCUUCCUCAGCCCCAAGUUCGUGUCUACUUUCCUACCUAAGGCCAGCAAACUUCCCUUCUCUAAUAGAGAGACAGGAACCUGGAAGACUUCCGGGCCAACAUUUCACUCCCGCUGUCCGGCUUUCAUGAAAUGGAGACUUUGCCUUGGCUCCUCGACGCUGUUCUCCUUCCGCAUUAUACAGUUUCCAGUCAGUCAUGGAAAGAGGACCAUGCCUAGAAAUA
RNAcentral lists this long non-coding RNA (6360 nucleotides) under Sus scrofa (pig). Its description in RNAcentral is "lncRNA (ENSSSCG00000057732.1)". Lineage: Eukaryota; Metazoa; Chordata; Mammalia; Artiodactyla; Suidae. The record is from RNAcentral.